This 326-nucleotide transfer RNA is filed under the name Scapania crassiretis. RNAcentral's name for it is "partial tRNA-Leu". The stretch from base 1 to 249 matches the Rfam family "Group I catalytic intron", at positions 27 to 253 of the family's 253-position model. From Rfam's summary of the family: Group I catalytic introns are large self-splicing ribozymes. They catalyse their own excision from mRNA, tRNA and rRNA precursors in a wide range of organisms. Lineage: Eukaryota; Viridiplantae; Streptophyta; Jungermanniopsida; Jungermanniales; Scapaniaceae. The record is from RNAcentral.
CAAGAAAUUUGCUAAGUGAUUGUUUCCAUAUUCGGGGAAACCUAGGUUGAGGAGAAUAAACAUAGUAGGUAAUCCUGAGCCAAAUUUUGUUUCCUUUACAAAAUAGGUGCAGAGACUCAAAGGAAACUAUCCAAACAAAAAUAAAUCAUUUAUGAAUUAUUAAUUCGUUCUACGAUGAAUUUUAUAUAUAUUUAAAUAUAUAUAUGAUAUAAGGAUAAAGAUAGAGUCCAUUUUUACACGCUAUAUUUGGCAACGAUGUAAGUCAUUGUAAAAAGAAAAUCCGUUGGCUUUUUAGACCGUGAGGGGUUCAAGUCCCUCUACCCCCA